This is a non-coding RNA of Vicia faba (fava bean), 246 nucleotides long. The record is from the annotation of a GenBank genome assembly. NCBI's taxonomy places the organism in Eukaryota, Viridiplantae, Streptophyta, Magnoliopsida, Fabales, Fabaceae.
AUGAAGAUUGAUUCGAAAUCAUUAUCCUUGUUCUCAAAGAGUGAGGGAGUGAGUGAGACAUUUGUCAUCAAAGAAAGGAAAGUAGGUGUUUGGAAUGAGGCUUCAUUCCUCAUACCUAACUUUCCAAGUUUGUAUUGUAACAUCAAGAAAGCCAAAGAAAAUCUAGCUUUUCUUCACAUGAUUUGUUCAGAUGUCCAUUUUGGAGUGAUGAGACAUGUAAUUUGUUCAUAUGUGAUGAAGACAUGA